Molecule: ribosomal RNA, 446 nt
Filed under: uncultured bacterium
Lineage: Bacteria
Description: partial 16S ribosomal RNA
Rfam family: Bacterial small subunit ribosomal RNA
Source: RNAcentral
CCUACGGGAGGCAGCAGUCGAGAAUCAUUCACAAUGGGGGAAACCCUGAUGGUGCGACGCCGCGUGGGGGAAUGAAGGUCUUCGGAUUGUAAACCCCUGUCAUGUGGGAGCAAAUUAAAAAGAUAGUACCACAAGAGGAAGAGACGGCUAACUCUGUGCCAGCAGCCGCGGUAAUACAGAGGUCUCAAGCGUUGUUCGGAAUCACUGGGCGUAAGGCGUGCGUAGGCUGUUUCGUAAGUCGUGUGUGAAAGGCGCGGGCUCAACCCGCGGACGGCACAUGAUACUGCGAGACUAGAGUAAUGGAGGGGGAACCGGAAUUCGCGGUGUAGCAGUGAAAUGCGUAGAUAUCGAGAGGAACACUCGUGGCGAAGGCGGGUUCCUGGACAUUAACUGACGCUGAGGCACGAAGGCCAGGGGAGCGAAAGGGAUUAGAUACCCGAGUAGUC